Long non-coding RNA from Synchiropus splendidus (mandarinfish), 1331 nucleotides. RefSeq lists it as uncharacterized. NCBI's taxonomy places the organism in Eukaryota, Metazoa, Chordata, Actinopteri, Syngnathiformes, Callionymidae. The record is from RefSeq and is a predicted model, not a curated record. The transcript is spliced from 3 exons.
UUUUUUUUCACAUUUAUUAUGUUGAUGACUGGAUGCAUUGGUGCAGCUGUGUGAAAGAGACAUGUUACUUGAGCCACUGUCAGCAAAAUGUGGCCUUCUCAUUGGAAUCUUUCUGACAUGAACUUUGCAAAUGACAUAUAAACUAGCAAGGCGGUGUGCCACGACUUAAAUGAGAGCCACCACAGCAUCAUAAAAAUUACCUCUUUUUAAAGAUUAAAUCUCAUGUGAUCAAAUGUAUUAAAAGAAAGUCAAAGGGAGCAAACAAACAAAUAGCACAUAACACAUCAUGGAGGUGGGCGUAAACAUGACGGUAUUCGCCAUGUUAUUGGCGUAAAAAUCCUGAAAGAAACAUAAUAAUGACUGAAGUCUGUUGCUCACGGAACUCAAGUCGCGUAUUCCGAGGACAAGGGACAUAGAGAUAGAGACAUAGAGAUCAGAGAUAGAAUACUAGAAGAGGUACUAGGUAGGAAAAAGAAGCACAGGAAGACAGCUAUUGGGAUUAUAACCAGGGAAGAUACGCAAGCUGGGCUAAAAUAGAGGAGGCUCAUUUCUAAUGACAACCCCUGAUGCAAAAUGCUGAAAGACAAAGCGCAAUCUAUCUAUGGAAAAGCAUAUGAAGAUGGUUUGUCCGUAUUCCAAAAUACAACAUUUGCUAAAACAUCCAGCAAACAUCAUUAAGCAAUACACAUCAAUGCUUAACUGGGAGACAUGUCGCUCAAUAAGGGUAAUAACAGGGUAAUGAGAGUUAGAUGGGCCAUGUGCCAAAUUCCAGGAGAGUGAGUCAGCUGCACUUCAACAGGCACUUGGCACAUUGGAACCCAUUUGCUUUUUCAGUUGACACAGAUGCAACUUCCAAAAUGUAGACACAAAGCAUUAAAGAAGAGUUUAAUAACUGAGUUAGAUAAAGGUGUGAUGACGGGCUCAGGUCACAACACUGUGAAUGUGUGCAUGUGUGUGCUACUGUGUUCCAGCUGUUGGGACUCUGACUAGUGGAGGACCCUGGCUCCCACUGGUGCUGCCCACAGGCCCAGAGGUGGUGAGACACACAGCAGCUCCACGGGAAGGGGAACCCAGCCGCGAAGCAUCACUCAAGCGCCUAAUUCCUCUAAUCUGUGCAGCCAUGCGAGGUACAGAGUGAGGGUCAGGGCCCGCUCCCGCAUCAAUCCUACAACUGUCGACGCUGAUGGACUGAUGGUGGACCAGCAUGAAUCUGUGUGGAUGGCUGGCCGAUGGCCACUGGCUUUCCAGGUGGUCAAACUGAUGGUGAUGCAGUGGGACUCUGGAUGGAAGGCUUGGUGGUGCUUGGCAGCAUGAUGGAUUCCUGAACGGGU